UGAGUCUGUGGUUUGGGCAGCCGUCUGUCGUGUUCGCAGGCGCUGUGGCUGUCGCCGGCGUAUUAUCUGGAGUUCGAGGGCUGGAACACUUUCGCUCUCAUCUGGAUCGCCGGGCUGCUGUUUCUGCUCAUAAACUCUCUCAUACUGGGACAAAUAAUCUCCCAUUACAGACCCGCAGAGGCCCAGCUGAAGAAGACAGACUGACAGACGCCUAUCCUGGAGCUGGAGAGCUGAUUCAGAUGACCACUAGAUGUCGCCCUACAGCAGUUUUACAGAUCUGAUGUUGCACAAGCUGAUAGGAUUUUAAACCCUUAAACACUUUAAACACAAAUUACAUCUUAGACAGAGUCUCAACUUUUACUGGACUUACUUUUCAGACGUGUAAAUGCUUUGUGAUGGUGAUAACGAGUGUUUGUGUCCAUGCAGAAAUGAUCAUGAGUGUGAACAAACAUGUUUAUGAACGAUAUCUACAGUCUGAGGCGUUUCUUACAGGUGUGAGUGAAGAGACAAGCUCCGCCCACCAGACGAUGUCAGCACCAAUAGGAGUGAGUGUUGAGUGGCGGUGGGCGGGGCAUCUGAUGCGGCAGGGUUAUUUCAUCCUGAUGACGUGUGCAUCAAGAGCAAAGCCGCUCAAUUCAAAGUAGAUUCACUGCUUCAGUUGAAUAAUUCAUCUCGACGGAUGAUUUAAUCCCAGCUCCACGUCACUACAGCUGCUGAAGCAGAUCAGGGUUAAACUGGAUUAAAUCAUCUCCACCUGCUGGAACUAGUUGGGUCUCUCUGUGUUUGCUUCAUUACAGCAGAACCCUGAUUUAAGCUUUAAAAAUCUUCUGUUGUCACAUAAUGUUCUGGUAAACAUUCUUUCCCCCCAAAAUACUGGCCUCUGCAGAUCUGUUUAUGUCUGACAAAUUCACGGCUAUUACUCACACACUUAUUAAAGUGUUCAAAAGGAGAAUGUGAAUCACAAGUGGAAAUGAUUAUUUCUGCCCUUAUUCAUAGCAAGACACUACAAUAGUACAUAUGCGUGGACUUUUUGUCAUACAAGAUUUUUAUUUUUAUAAAAGUAAUAAAUAUAACAGGAAGACCCACAUUUGAGUGUUGCUGCUUUGCAUCACUGUAUCUUCUGUUAAUAUUUAUUGCCCAUAUUGAAUGCCAGAGGCAAAACGUCAUGUUAAAAUCCUUCCUGAAAAAGUGCAAAAGGUCAUUAAA
Sinocyclocheilus rhinocerous is the source of this 1206-nucleotide long non-coding RNA. RefSeq lists it as uncharacterized. The transcript has 2 exons. NCBI's taxonomy places the organism in Eukaryota, Metazoa, Chordata, Actinopteri, Cypriniformes, Cyprinidae. The record is from RefSeq and is a predicted model, not a curated record.